RNAcentral lists this long non-coding RNA (1375 nucleotides) under Marmota monax (woodchuck). Lineage: Eukaryota; Metazoa; Chordata; Mammalia; Rodentia; Sciuridae. The record is from RNAcentral.
UAUUGUUAUUAUUUUUUUAUGUGGCGCUGAGGAUCAAACCCAGCGUCCCGCACAUGGGAGGCGCGCGCACUACCGCUUGAGCCACAUCCCCAGCCUGGAGCAUUCCUUAAAUAGAGUGUAGUGAUUCAUAAUAAUGAUCAGUAAAAGACUCAGGGAUAAGUUUCAUUAGAAGAGUAGUUGAAACUUAUUAUAGCAUAUUAGGAAACUAUUUACCCUUUUAAUACAGAGAUUAGAUAAACAAAUGAAAAACAGUUUCAGGAUACUCCUAAAAUUAGGGAACAUGUUGUGAAGGACCAACAAUGACCAUAGUGGUUGUAAAUGCAGAAAAAAUAAUGUGGGAGAUAAGGGAAUCAAAGUGAAUAGAAACAGUUGUUUAGAAGAUUGUUGCUUUGUUAGUAGAUUAUAGGUAUGGGACUUUCUGACUCAAAGGGAACACGUAUAUUUAUUUAGCUUAUAAUGAAAGUGCUAAUAUUUGGCAAGCAAAAUACCUUAUGUAGCAUGGUACACAUAAUAAUUAUAAAAAUAUAAAUAUAAAAUUAGAGAAAAAUUAGUAAGUGUGAAUAAGAAGUUAAAUAUGUAUUUUUCAUUUUUUAUCCACUUUGCAUGAGAAUUUCUACCUCUAGCUUAGUAGGUCAAACAACCUCUCAUAAAAAUUAUAUGUAAUCCCAUAGUUCACCAGCAUUAGGGGCAGGCUUGUCCAGACACAGAAGAAAAGAUGCACGCAAAGUAGGAAACAAUAACAAUAAAAUUCAUACUACAAGAAAAGCCAUUGAACAUAUCCCAUCAUAUUUUCAUCUUAAAGGUAAUAUUAUUCCCAUUCGCAUAUUUCAAAACUUAAGUCAAAAAAUGAUUUCCCCAUAUAUAUUGGUACAGAAAUUUGACCCUGUUCAUCAAACUAUAAAUCUUAAGCUCUUAACAAUAAAGACUACUCUUAUAAAGUAAUCCUGAAAACUCUGAUGUUACAAUGAGAAUAAUUUGGUUAAGAAUUUUUAAAGUAUUGAUUGACAAAAAUGUGGAUAAAUUAUAGCAACAUAUGCAUUGAACUACAAAUGCAUAUUAGUAAAAAUUUAUAGCAAUUUAUUUUUGAUAGCAAUGUGGAGAAUCAUCAAAUAAUGUCAAAAUUUCAGUGAGACAAAUAGCAAUGAAAUUUGAAACCACUUGUAUGACAAAUGCUCUUGCAGACCUUGUUGACCAAGAUUUACUUGCACAACCAGACUUUGCCAAAGCAGGAAAUAGGUGUAAUAUAUAUACAAGUCUGACUUCUCUCUCUCCACCUUGUUACAACAGAUGAAACAAAUAUUUCAUCCUGUUCUGAGAAUCAACGGUAAGUGGUAUUUCCUUUACUUCAGGAUGAAUAUUUUAUUAUGCCAAUUUA